GACGAGGGGUCCUAGCGUUGUUCGGAAUCAUUGGGCGUAAAGCGCGCGUAGGUGGCUUUGUAAGUCAGAUGUGAAAGCCCUGGGCUCAACCCAGGAAGUGCAUUUGAUACUGCUAAGCUUGAAUAUGGGAGAGGGUAGUAGAAUUCCUGGUGUAGUGGUGAAAUACGUAGAUAUCAGGAGGAAUACCGGUGGCGAAGGCGGCUACCUGGCCCAAUAUUGACGCUGAAGUGCGAAAGCGUGGGGAUCAAACAGG
Molecule: ribosomal RNA, 253 nt
Filed under: uncultured bacterium
Lineage: Bacteria
Description: partial 16S ribosomal RNA
Rfam family: Bacterial small subunit ribosomal RNA
Source: RNAcentral